UCGAAGCCUAGAAAGCACGACCGCGAAUGYGUCUAAAACAACGGGUGCGCCGAGCAGCCUUCUGGCUUCCCGGCGCNNNNUCGCUCGGCUGGCGAGGAGACUUGCACUCAUCGCCAUCCAAAACUAACGAANCCCGGCGCGGACAGCGCCAAGGAAUCAAAAAGAGAAGUGCUCGGCCCUUNGCCCCGUUAAUUGGGUUGCAGGGCCUUGUCAUUUCAUGAAAAUAUCACAACGACUCUCGGCAACGGAUAUCUCGGCUCUCGCAUCGAUGAAGAACGUAGCAAAAUGCGAUACUUGGUGUGAAUUGCAGAAUCCCGUGAAUCAUCGAGUCUUUGAACGCAAGUUGCGCCCGAAGCCUUUAGGCUGAGGGCACGUCUGCCUGGGCGUCAUGCACUGUGAUGCCCCCCAUGCAAGCAUGCGGGGCAAAUCUUGGCCUCCCGUGUCAACUCGCGGAUGGCUUAAAAAGGAGCCAUGAGAUGGAAAAACGUCGCGACGAGUGGUGGUCAAAAGGCCGUUGGCUUGAAACAUAGCGUGUCGCGGCGUCUUGCCUCCCUCACUCGGAAAAGACCCCGUAGGAGCUUUUUAGCGCCUCAAGCUUC
Molecule: unclassified non-coding RNA, 599 nt
Filed under: Sedum longipes
Lineage: Eukaryota; Viridiplantae; Streptophyta; Magnoliopsida; Saxifragales; Crassulaceae
Description: sequence contains ITS1, 5.8S rRNA gene and ITS2
Rfam family: 5.8S ribosomal RNA (bases 234-389)
Source: RNAcentral